GUGCCAGCAGCCGCGGUAAUACGUAGGUGGCAAGCGUUAUCCGGAAUUAUUGGGCGUAAAGCGCGCGCAGGUGGUUCCUUAAGUCUGAUGUGAAAGCCCCCGGCUCAACCGGGGAGGGUCAUUGGAAACUGGGGAACUUGAGUGUAGAAGAGGAAAGUGGAAUUCCACGUGUAGCGGUGAAAUGCGUAGAGAUGUGGAGGAACACCAGUGGCGAAGGCGACUUUCUGGUCUAUAACUGACACUGAGGCGCGAAAGCGUGGGGAGCAAACAGGAUUAGAAACCCGCGUAGUCC
RNAcentral lists this ribosomal RNA (292 nucleotides) under uncultured bacterium. RNAcentral describes it as "partial 16S ribosomal RNA". It matches the Rfam family "Bacterial small subunit ribosomal RNA", at positions 505 to 796 of the family's 1533-position model. The record is from RNAcentral.